This 895-nucleotide ribosomal RNA is filed under the name Stenocarpella macrospora. Its description in RNAcentral is "LSU rRNA". It matches the Rfam family "Eukaryotic large subunit ribosomal RNA", at positions 34 to 961 of the family's 3401-position model. Lineage: Eukaryota; Fungi; Ascomycota; Sordariomycetes; Diaporthales; Diaporthaceae. The record is from RNAcentral.
UUAAGCAUAUCAAUAAGCGGAGGAAAAGAAACCAACAGGGAUUGCCCUAGUAACGGCGAGUGAAGCGGCAACAGCUCAAAUUUGAAAUCUGGCCUCGGCCCGAGUUGUAAUUUGCAGAGGAUGCUUCUGGCGCGGUGCCCUCCGAGUUCCCUGGAACGGGACGCCACAGAGGGUGAGAGCCCCGUAUGGUCGGACACCAAGCCUGUGUGAAGCUCCUUCGACGAGUCGAGUAGUUUGGGAAUGCUGCUCUAAAUGGGAGGUAAAUCUCUUCUAAAGCUAAAUACCGGCCAGAGACCGAUAGCGCACAAGUAGAGUGAUCGAAAGAUGAAAAGCACCUUGAAAAGGGGGUUAAAUAGUACGUGAAAUUGUUGAAAGGGAAGCACUUGUGACCAGACUUGGGCCGGGCGGCUCAUCAGGGGUUCUCCCCUGUGCACUCCGCCCGGCACAGGCCAGCAUCGGUCUUCGCGGGGGGACAAGACCGCCGGGAACGUAGCACCCUCCGGGGUGUGUUAUAGCCCGGCGGACGAUACCCCCGCGGGGACCGAGGUCCGCGCUCCGCAAGGAUGCUGGCGUAAUGGUCACCAGUGACCCGUCUUGAAACACGGACCAAGGAGUCGUCCAUUAGAGCGAGCGUUUGGGUGUCAAACCCGCACGCGUAAUGAAAGUGAACGCAGGUGAGAGCUUCGGCGCAUCAUCGACCGAUCCUGAUGUUCUCGGAAGGAUUUGAGUAAGAGUUUUAACGGACGGACCCGAAAGACAGUGAACUAUGCUUGUAUAGGGUGAAGCCAGAGGAAACUCUGGUGGAAGCUCGCAGCGGUUCUGACGUGCAAAUCGAUCGUCAAAUAUGAGCAUGGGGGCGAAAGACUAAUCGAACUGUCUAGUAGCUGGUUACCGC